AGCUCCAAUAGCGUAUAUUAAAAUUGUUGCGGUUAAAACGCUCGUAGUUGAAUAUCUGUUGAAUGUCCCCGGUCCAUCCUAGUGGUGUGUACUCGGUCUACAUUUGGCACUUUUCUAGGGAACGUGUUCGCACUUAACUGUGUGGCGCAUGAUCUAGUACUUUUACUUUGAGGAAAUGAGAGUGUUUCAAGCAGGCGUUUGUUUUGAAUACGUUAGCAUGGAAUAAUAACAUAGGACCUCGUUCUGGAGUUGUUGGUUUUCGGAGCGAGGUAAUCCAAAUAGGGAUAGCUGGGGGCAUUCGUAUUUAACUGUCAGAGGUGAAAUUCUUGGAUUUUUUAAAGACGAACUACUGCGAAAGCAUCUGCCCAGGAUGUUUUUA
RNAcentral lists this ribosomal RNA (379 nucleotides) under uncultured eukaryote. RNAcentral's name for it is "SSU rRNA". It matches the Rfam family "Eukaryotic small subunit ribosomal RNA", at positions 587 to 972 of the family's 1831-position model. The record is from RNAcentral.